CAGAAAGUUGAAGCAAGAAAAGAGGGAUCAAAGUUUUCAUCUGGUAACUGCCUGUCUCCUAUAAACACGACUGCGUGGAGGGAGGGAAGAAGCAGCAGGAGCAUGCUGGGCCCUGAAAGGACAAUUGGCAAGGAAAGGGCACAACAGGGAGGAGCCCACAUAGGGGAGAGCUCUGCAGAGGGAGUAUCUUCCCGCCUGGUUGAGAAGAUCAAAUGAGAUAACGAACGUUUAAACACUGGCCUCAAAGAGAAAGGGGUCACAAUUCCAGGACCUCUCCCCUGCCCGGAAGGCGGAAGGCGGAAGGCGGAAGGCAAGGCGAGGCCUGCAUCUCAGUGAUGGCCACCAUCAGUCAUCUUCAGCCAGAGCUGUUAUCAGUGCUGUCUGUCCCACCAGAAAGUGAGCUCCCACAGCCCCAGACCCUAACACCCUCCAGCCCACAGGGUUGGGGCUCCAUACCUGUGCUCAAUGAGUGAGCUAACAGGACCCUCAAAGAGAAUACCUGGCUCUGUCCAGACUAGAAAUACCCAAGGCAGAGUCACCUUCCUGGCUCAGUCCCAGCCACUUGAAGUACACCCAAGUACUCCGUCUUGCUGUGGACCUGCCCGCCUGUGCAGCUCUUCUGCAGAGCUGGUGGAGAGUCCACUGAGUGUCGGGGGUGCAGGAGCACCAGCAAGAGUGAGAAGGAGAAGGGACCUGGCGCCACAUCCCGCUCUGCUCCCGAAUGAGAUUGCUGCAUUUAAUCGUGUCUGAGGACCGUCUGUAAAGAGAUCUUCCUGGGCCAACGUUGGGCUUCCCAUUCCAGUCUACUGCUCCGUAACUUACCCUGUCUGGUCCCUUCCACUUCCUCAGAACAGACAUCAGGAGGAAGCACUGAGCCCAGGAACAGUCCUUCCCCCAGACUCUCAGAAUCAGGGACUAACAUCAUCUCCCCG
Molecule: long non-coding RNA, 932 nt
Organism: Tupaia belangeri chinensis (Chinese tree shrew)
Lineage: Eukaryota; Metazoa; Chordata; Mammalia; Scandentia; Tupaiidae
Exons: 3
Source: RefSeq, a predicted model, not a curated record